GAGUUCGAUCCUGGCUCAGGAUGAACGCUAGCUACAGGCUUAACACAUGCAAGUCGAGGGGCAUCAUUUCGAAAGCUUGCUUUUGAAGAUGGCGACCGGCGCACGGGUGAGUAACGCGUAUCCAACCUUCCCCUUAGUAGGGCAUAGCCCGGCGAAAGUCGGAUUAAUACCCUAUGUUCUUUACGGAUGGCAUCUGAAGUAAAGCAAAGAUUUAUCGCUAAGGGAUGGGGAUGCGUCUGAUUAGGUUGUUGGCGGGGUAACGGCCCACCAAGCCUACGAUCAGUAGGGGUUCUGAGAGGAAGGUCCCCCACAUUGGUACUGAGCCAUGAUCAAACUC
This 337-nucleotide ribosomal RNA is filed under the name uncultured Prevotella sp. RNAcentral describes it as "bacterial SSU rRNA". It matches the Rfam family "Bacterial small subunit ribosomal RNA", at positions 9 to 338 of the family's 1533-position model. The record is from RNAcentral. Lineage: Bacteria; Pseudomonadati; Bacteroidota; Bacteroidia; Bacteroidales; Prevotellaceae.